RNAcentral lists this long non-coding RNA (607 nucleotides) under Rattus norvegicus (Norway rat). RNAcentral describes it as "long non-coding RNA NONRATT023270". The record is from RNAcentral. Lineage: Eukaryota; Metazoa; Chordata; Mammalia; Rodentia; Muridae.
UUUCUUCAGGAAAAGGAGAAGCGGGCUUUAACCCCAUACCCCACCACCUCUCCCAAAGCAGGAUCAUCUCCUUCCAGUAGCUCCUGGAACUCACACCAAGAAAGACCAACACGGUGCUGGGGCUUGUUUUGUUUUAUAAGCUUGAGGUUGACGUUUUAAUUUUUGUGAUCUAUUUUGUUAUUUUUUUUGUGACGUCCUUUCUUACAUGUUUGCAUUGUUUAAAUAUGCUUGCAUUUUCUAUAUAAAAGUUAUAUUAGACGGACACUGCUCCAUCCUCACCAGAUGUACAUACUCCACUGUCUGCUGGGAAAACCCCUGGAUUUCGUUUUUAUUCAAUUACUUAAAGAUGACUUUCCAUUAAAAUAUAUUUUGCUACUAAAUAAGGUUUUUGCUGGGUAGUGCCAUUUUUCCAAGGUGGCUAUUGAACAAAGAAAAGAACUCAUGAACUUCCUUCGUAAUCCUCUGGCAUCAUACAUGAGCCCAUGUGGGGCAUUGAACAGUUAUGGUAAAGGAGGCCCUUCCUUUAGUCCUGUCUUGUUUGUUCAGUGUGUGACUGUAAAGGUUUUCUUUCUUCAUUAAAGAAAAGUGAGUCAGACUUAGUGUCCCC